UGAGGAAUAUUGGUCAAUGGGCGAGAGCCUGAACCAGCCAAGUAGCGUGAAGGAUGACUGCCCUAUGGGUUGUAAACUUCUUUUAUAAAGGAAUAAAGUCGGGUAUGCAUACCCGUUUGCAUGUACUUUAUGAAUAAGGAUCGGCUAACUCCGUGCCAGCAGCCGCGGUAAUACGGAGGAUCCGAGCGUUAUCCGGAUUUAUUGGGUUUAAAGGGAGCGUAGAUGGAUGUUUAAGUCAGUUGUGAAAGUUUGCGGCUCAACCGUAAAAUUGCAGUUGAUACUGGAUAUCUUGAGUGCAGUUGAGGCAGGCGGAAUUCGUGGUGUAGCGGUGAAAUGCUUAGAUAUCACGAAGAACUCCGAUUGCGAAGGCAGCCUGCUAAGCUGCAACUGACAUUGAGGCUCGAAAGUGUGGGUAUCAAACAGGAUUAGAUACCCUGGUAGUCCACACGGUAAACGAUGAAUACUCGCUGUUUGCGAUAUACGGCAAGCGGCCAAGCGAAAGCGUUAAGUAUUCCACCUGGGGAGUACGCCGGCAACGGUGAAACUCAAAGGAAUUGACGGGGGCCCGCACAAGCGGAGGAACAUGUGGUUUAAUUCGAUGAUACGCGAGGAACCUUACCCGGGCUUAAAUUGCAGAUGAAUUACGGUGAAAGCCGUAAGCCGCAAGGCAUCUGUGAAGGUGCUGCAUGGUUGUCGUCAGCUCGUGCCGUGAGGUGUCGGCUUAAGUGCCAUAACGAGCGCAACCCUUGUUGUCAGUUACUAACAGGUCAUGCUGAGGACUCUGACAAGACUGCCAUCGUAAGAUGUGAGGAAGGUGGGGAUGACGUCAAAUCAGCACGGCCCUUACGUCCGGGGCUACACACGUGUUACAAUGGGGGGUACAGAGGGCCGCUACCACGCGAGUGGAUGCCAAUCCCCAAAACCUCUCUCAGUUCGGACUGGAGUCUGCAACCCGACUCCACGAAGCUGGAUUCGCUAGUAAUCGCGCAUCAGCCACGGCGCGGUGAAUACGUUCCC
This 1017-nucleotide ribosomal RNA is filed under the name uncultured bacterium. RNAcentral describes it as "bacterial SSU rRNA". It matches the Rfam family "Bacterial small subunit ribosomal RNA", at positions 355 to 1375 of the family's 1533-position model. The record is from RNAcentral.